GCAGAGGUGGUGGAAUCGGCAGACACGUACGUUUGAGGGGCGUAUGCUAAUUGAUGGCGUGAGGGUUCAAGUCCCUUCCUCUGCA
Molecule: transfer RNA, 85 nt
Filed under: Peptoanaerobacter stomatis
Lineage: Bacteria; Bacillati; Bacillota; Clostridia; Peptostreptococcales; Filifactoraceae
Description: Eubacteriaceae bacterium ACC19a tRNA
Rfam family: tRNA
About the family: Transfer RNA (tRNA) molecules are approximately 80 nucleotides in length. Their secondary structure includes four short double-helical elements and three loops (D, anti-codon, and T loops).
Source: Rfam by way of RNAcentral